RNAcentral lists this ribosomal RNA (330 nucleotides) under uncultured Burkholderia sp. RNAcentral's name for it is "bacterial SSU rRNA". It matches the Rfam family "Bacterial small subunit ribosomal RNA", at positions 568 to 898 of the family's 1533-position model. Lineage: Bacteria; Pseudomonadati; Pseudomonadota; Betaproteobacteria; Burkholderiales; Burkholderiaceae. The record is from RNAcentral.
UGCGCAGGCGGUUUGUUAAGACAGAUGUGAAAUCCCCGGGCUUAACCUGGGAACUGCAUUUGUGACUGGCAAGCUAGAGUAUGGCAGAGGGGGGUAGAAUUCCACGUGUAGCAGUGAAAUGCGUAGAGAUGUGGAGGAAUACCGAUGGCGAAGGCAGCCCCCUGGGCCAAUACUGACGCUCAUGCACGAAAGCGUGGGGAGCAAACAGGAUUAGAUACCCUGGUAGUCCACGCCCUAAACGAUGUCAACUAGUUGUUGGGGAUUCAUUUCCUUAGUAACGUAGCUAACGCGUGAAGUUGACCGCCUGGGGAGUACGGUCGCAAGAUUAAA